Molecule: ribosomal RNA, 288 nt
Filed under: uncultured bacterium
Lineage: Bacteria
Description: partial 16S ribosomal RNA
Rfam family: Bacterial small subunit ribosomal RNA
Source: RNAcentral
GAAAUGCUCGGCGCUUUGGGAUGGUCUCGCGAUCUAUCAGCUUGUUGGUGAGGUAAACGGCUUCACCCAAGGCAUCGACGGAUAGCUGGUCUGAGAGGAUGUCCAGCCGCAUUGGAACUGAGACACGGUCCAAACUCCUACGGGAGGCAGCAGUAGGGAAUCUUGCACAAUGAGGGAAACCUUGAUGCAGCGACGCCGCGUGCGGGACGAAGGCCCUAGGGUUGUAAACCGCUUUCAGUAGGGACGAAAGUGACGGUACCUACAGAAGAAGCCCCGGCCAACUAUGUG